RNAcentral lists this ribosomal RNA (460 nucleotides) under uncultured bacterium. RNAcentral describes it as "partial 16S ribosomal RNA". It matches the Rfam family "Bacterial small subunit ribosomal RNA", at positions 338 to 795 of the family's 1533-position model. The record is from RNAcentral.
CCUACGGGAGGCAGCAGUGAGGAAUAUUGGUCAAUGGGCGAGAGCCUGAACCAGCCAAGUCGCGUGAAGGAUGACGGCCCUACGGGUUGUAAACUUCUUUUGUCAGGGAGCAAUUGGGUCCACGCGUGGGCUUAGCGAGAGUACCUGAAGAAAAAGCAUCGGCUAACUCCGUGCCAGCAGCCGCGGUAAUACGGAGGAUGCGAGCUUUAUCCGGAUUUAUGGGGUUUAAAGGGUGCGUAGGCGGAAUUUCAAGUCAGCGGUAAAAAUUCGGGGCUCAACCCCGUCGUGCCGUUGAAACUGAUGUUCUUGAGUGGGCGAGAAGUAUGCGGAAUGCGUGGUGUAGCGGUGAAAUGCAUAGAUAUCACGCAGAACUCCGAUUGCGAAGGCAGCAUACCGGCGCCCAACUGACGCUGAGGCACGAAAGCGUGGGUAUCGAACAGGAUUAGAUACCCCUGUAGUC